Non-coding RNA from Rattus norvegicus (Norway rat), 69 nucleotides. The record is from Rfam. NCBI's taxonomy places the organism in Eukaryota, Metazoa, Chordata, Mammalia, Rodentia, Muridae.
GGGGAUUUAGCUCAGUGGUAGAGUGCUUGCCUAGGAAGCGCAAGGCCCUGGGUUCGAUCCCCAGCUCCG